Molecule: ribosomal RNA, 334 nt
Filed under: uncultured eukaryote
Lineage: Eukaryota
Description: partial 18S ribosomal RNA
Rfam family: Eukaryotic small subunit ribosomal RNA
Source: RNAcentral
CCCUUAGAUGUCCGGGGCCGCACGCGCGCUACACUGAAGGAAUCAGCGUGGUUUUCUCCCUGACCCGAAAGGGUUGGGAAACCCGUUGAAUCUCCUUCGUGAUAGGGAUUGGGGCUUGAAAUUGUUCCCCAUGAACGAGGAAUUCCCAGUAAGCGCGAGUCAUAAGCUCGCGUUGAUUACGUCCCUGCCCUUUGUACACACCGCCCGUCGCUACUACCGAUUGAAUGGUUUAGUGAGAUCCUUGGAUCGGCCCUGUCGCGGCUGGCAACGGCCGCGUCGGCGCGUCGAGAAGACGAUCAAACUUGAUCAUUUAGAGGAAGUAAAAGUCGUAACA